AUAGCGUAUAUUAAAGUUGUUGUGGUUAAAAAGCUCGUAGUUGGAUCUCAGUUCGAGUCAGGCGGUCCACUUGCCAGUGGUUACUGCUUGACGGAACACUUUACCGACUUGUCCUAUGGUGCUCUUCACCGAGUGUCAUAGGCGGGCGGUACGUUUACUUUGAAAAAAUUAGAGUGCUCAAAGCAGGCUUAUAGCCCGAAUAAUGUUGCAUGGAAUAAUGGAAUAGGACCUCGGUUCUAUUUUGUUGGUCUUCGGAAUCUGAGGUAAUGAUUAAGAGGGACAGACGGGGGCAUUCGUAUUGCGGCGCUAGAGGUGAAAUUCUUGGACCGUCGCAAGACGAA
RNAcentral lists this ribosomal RNA (341 nucleotides) under uncultured eukaryote. RNAcentral describes it as "SSU rRNA". It matches the Rfam family "Eukaryotic small subunit ribosomal RNA", at positions 594 to 939 of the family's 1831-position model. The record is from RNAcentral.